RNAcentral lists this non-coding RNA (809 nucleotides) under Hemisodorcus arrowi. The record is from RNAcentral. Lineage: Eukaryota; Metazoa; Arthropoda; Insecta; Coleoptera; Lucanidae.
CAAAGGCAACUGUUUAGUUGAACUUUUAUAUCUUAUGGGUUGUUAGAGGAGUGAGAGUCAAAAUUAAAGUUUUAUUGUGGCUUUUAAAUUUGGUUUUUGAUAAUUUUACAUGUAAAUUUUAUUUUAGAAGGGGAAUAUUAAGCAGUAAAUAAAUUUAAUGAUUAAGGAAGCUUAGAAUUAGAUAUUUAUAUAAGUAUAGACAAAUCUUGUGCCAGCAGUUGCGGUUAAACAUGAUAUACUUCUUAAUUUGGCUUGGGUGAUAAUUAUCUUUUAGUAGGAAAUGAAAAUUGAUUAUAUAAGGUGAAAUUUUAUAGUUAAUUUUAUUUAUUUUUUUAUGAAAUAUUAUUAGAUUUUUGGUAUAGACUAGGAUUAGAUACCCUAUUAUUGGAAGUGUAAAUUGAACUCCUGAGGAGUAUUAGUUGUUCUUGAAAUUUAAAAAAUUUGGCGGUGUUUUAGUCUAUUCAGAGGAACCUGUCCUGUAAUUGAUAAUCCACGAUUAAUUAGACUUGUUCUUUAAGUUUGUAUAUCGUCGUUAUUUGAAUAUCUUUAAAAAGAUAAAUAUUCAGUAUUUAUAAUUUUAAUUUAAAUCAGAUCAAGGUGCAGUUUACGGAUAAGGGGAGAUGGGUUACAAUAAAAGAAUUUUUGGUUUGAGAGGUGAAAUUCUUACAAUAAAUUGGAUUUGAUAGUAAAAAUGAUUAUUUUAUUAAUUUGAUUAAGGCUCUAAAAUAUGUACAUAUCGCCCGUCGCUCCUACCACAAGGUAGGAUAAGUCGUAACAAAGUAGGUGUACCGGAAGGUGUACCUGGAAAG